AGAACAGUGCCACUUAAUUGGCAACACUUGGCCCGACCUGCGAGCCUACAAGCUGGUUUUGGGCCAGGCUAUGGUUUGGGGUUAUUUUAGCCAUCGCAUCAUGGCAAAUUGCAGUGGAGGAUGGAAAUCGCAAGGCAUGCUCCACAAUCGGAAUUUGAUUUUCCAAGGAUUUCGAUCAUUUUUCCAUGUCGACGGCGAUUUGCAUAGACAUUCGCUCACCUUCUCGCCCGCUUCUACGACUAUCAAUUUGGAUGACAGGACACAAAGUCUAAGGACUGAAAUGGUUCAGACUUGAGGGACUGAGAUGGCGAACGGGGGAGAGAGAACAACAGACAGAGACAGACACAUAGAUGGAUGGAUAGGCAUGUCAGGCAAAAUUUAUUUAAAUUAAAGCAUACAAUUAUGCGUAACCUCGUUUAUCGGGUCGUUUGUGGGUCGUCGCUGGGAUUUGGAAUUGGCCUUUAAUUAAAUAGACACUUGUACCUUGGGAACUUGCGAAUUGUCAAUGCCAAGAAGGCUUAGACCCAGAAGAAAAUUAAUUUAAUUGAGUGGGAAUCCUGGCUGUGAGUAUAAGCAGUUGUCACUUGGUUACCGUGUUCACCCUUUUCAAUAAUUAAGUGCAAUUUCUAGUAUCUGUCACUUUUGGAUUUAUGUGUUUCCAUUUUAUUUGAUUUUUUUUUUGAGAAAAUAGCUCUUAAAAUCCCUGUCUUAGCUCGACACUCUCCAGACGAAUUCAAAGGCUAAGCAUGUGCUCUGACAUUUAGUGUCCUCUAUAUGCCUGACACUAAAGAAUUCUCCCUUUGCUAUAAUUUCGAUGAGACAGAGUCGGAAUUGAGAGGAAACGGAAUGCUUGUGGCAGAAUGGAUAGCGUUUUAACUGAUAUAUAACCCGGUAUAAAAAUGCGACGGUCUUAAAGUUUUCCUCUUCACACAACGAAAGCAAAAAGACAUAAAUCGGACUAAUAUGCAGAACCGACAC
Drosophila ananassae is the source of this 978-nucleotide long non-coding RNA. RefSeq lists it as uncharacterized. NCBI's taxonomy places the organism in Eukaryota, Metazoa, Arthropoda, Insecta, Diptera, Drosophilidae. The record is from RefSeq and is a predicted model, not a curated record. The transcript has 2 exons.